This 253-nucleotide ribosomal RNA is filed under the name uncultured bacterium. RNAcentral's name for it is "partial 16S ribosomal RNA". It matches the Rfam family "Bacterial small subunit ribosomal RNA", at positions 524 to 776 of the family's 1533-position model. The record is from RNAcentral.
UACGUAGGGUGCGAGCGUUAAUCGGAAUUACUGGGCGUAAAGCGUGCGCAGGCGGUUCGUUGUGUCGGCGGUGAAAUCCCCGGGCUCAACCUGGGAAUGGCCGUUGAAACUGGCGAACUGGAGUGUGGCAGAGGGGGGUGGAAUUCCGCGCGUAGCAGUGAAAUGCGUAGAGAUGCGGAGGAACACCGAUGGCGAAGGCAGCCCCCUGGGCUGACACUGACGCUCAGGCACGAAAGCGUGGGGAGCAAACAGG